GCUGUGGCUCAUUGGUAGAGCUCCUGCUUUGCAUUCAGAAAAUGCCAGGUUCAAUCCCUCGCAUCUCCA
Podarcis lilfordi (Lilford's wall lizard) is the source of this 69-nucleotide non-coding RNA. NCBI's taxonomy places the organism in Eukaryota, Metazoa, Chordata, Lepidosauria, Squamata, Lacertidae. The record is from the annotation of a GenBank genome assembly.